GUAAAACUAUUAGAUCUCUGGUUUUAAAAAUACUUGUACCUGCUUGUACUGGUCUAAGAUGGCUCAACAAACAAGUGGAGCUUCAUUCAAAUACCAUGAGUUGGAUGAGCAAGAUGAAACCAUGGCUCAAAAACCACUCCCCACUGGACAGGUGGUCCCCGACACUGUCUAUCAAAUGCCCUACCAAAUCCCUCAAAUGUAUCAGCAGGUUGAGGCUGAAGUGGGCAAGCCCACUUACCCUGGACCCAGUGAUUACCUCAUCCUUAGCCUCGAAUCCACGCCGAUUAAAAUACGGCCUGGUGUUCAUUGCAGGGGUGUUAGUGCACACGCGCUGCACAAUUACCCAGAAUCUGGGUAAUCGUGCACGCCAGUAAAACUUUUAGUAAAUGUUACCGUAAACUAGCUGUAAUACUUGGAAUUUGUUCCGUGUUACUAUCAAUGGCGUCGACUGAGUUUUGUGAAGCUGUGGCUUAUGCUCUUCGUUGCGUUGGUCUAAAGGAUCUCACACUGAAGCCAAAGCAAAGGAGGCUCUCAUCCACCUGUAUGACGAUCAUGAUGUCUUUGUUUGGUUCCCCACGGGCUAUGGUAAGUCUUUGUGCUUCCAACUGCUCACUGAAGCGGACAAGCUCUAGCUCUACAAGAGUUGAGAGAAGAGCUGUGCUGGUGGUGUCACCACUAGUGUCUCUGAUAAUAGACCCGGUCUCAGGCCUCCGGAAGAGGGGUGUCUCUGCUGCUAUAUUGUCUGGCAACAAAGAUGUCGAGAAGGACCUCCUUGCUAGUGUGAGUGACGUGUCCGAGGGUCGGUUCUCUCUCCUCUAUAGUGCUCCCGAGGCACUCUCCUUGGCAGAGAAGCAUAGAAGCAGCUCCUGGUCCAACGUCCCCUCUGUGACUCUGUAGUGGCAGUCGCUGUUGACGAAGCACACUGUGCGUAUAAGUGGUACAGAGAUCUACCAUUGGGUUGCUGAGUACUGGCAGUCUCAACAGAAGUUGCUUGAGUAUAACGUUGCUCCGAUCCCUCAGCGGCACGUCUCGUUCACAUGGAGCAGUGACUAACAAAAUUAAUCCUCAGCAACCCCAGUAAUUUUUGAAACUCAUCUUACUCUUGUUUUUAUAUUACUCUUGUCCUGGACGGGGAAACAGAGUCGCCUUCCAGCGGUUCCAACGGUCUGAUGCUUAGCUAAUGGUGGUCUUGCUACGUGUGUGUGUGUGUGGAGAAACCCCUACCCCACUAGUGUCUUUGGAUAUCUUUCUCGACGGAGCCUAGUACUCGUUGGGCUGCCAGUGACACUUGUGAGAGGCCUGGGUAGCCAUCUCUAGCUCUCUGUUGUUUUAAUGUGCAAACCAUGCGGUAUAACGUAUUCUCAUUCUCCGUUUUAUUAUCAACAAUAAAUUUCGCGCAUGUGCACUAACACCCCUGCAAUGAACACCAGGCCGUAUUUUAAUCGGCGUGGAUUCGAGGUUACCUCAUCCUCAAUCUGGUUACCAUGAUCAUGUGUGGGGCACUCAACAUCACCUCUCUGUUGAUUGGCAUUCCAGGACUUUUGUUUUCAGUCUUGUUAACAAGAACUACCACAAAGCCAAGAGGUACUCCAACUAUACGCCCUGGGGCUAGCCAUAGCCAACAUCAUGUACACUUUCCUGUUGUACAUCAUUCUGAUCGGAGUUGGCAUAGGAGUAAGCAAAAUUACUCUCCAUGGCUACGGUUGCAACUUUUGCCGCUACUUACCCAAAGAGCAUGGAAACUGAACACUUACAAGGAAUGUAAUUAUGCCUUGCAUGCAUGCAUGCUGAUCGACACAAAUAUACACUUAUAUAUAAUUAUAGUGAUAAUCCCUGUAUAGUCAUCCAAUGUUGUUUAUAGUACGUUGUGUAUUCAUGAUUUUCAUUAACACUGUAAGUUCGAUGUCAAUGUAUUCUCAUGAGUCACUGUGUAUAUUUUUUAUUAUUAUGAAAUGGGAUAG
This is a long non-coding RNA of Halichondria panicea, 1961 nucleotides long. RefSeq lists it as uncharacterized. The transcript has 6 exons. Lineage: Eukaryota; Metazoa; Porifera; Demospongiae; Suberitida; Halichondriidae. The record is from RefSeq and is a predicted model, not a curated record.